This is a non-coding RNA of Paramuricea clavata, 560 nucleotides long. The record is from the annotation of a GenBank genome assembly. Lineage: Eukaryota; Metazoa; Cnidaria; Anthozoa; Malacalcyonacea; Plexauridae.
AUACUAUAACUGUAUAUUAUUGAAUUCUUGGAUUAUAUUAAUUAAACCCAACUGUUUCUCAUUUUUCAAGAGCAUCAUUUUUCAGUUCAUAGCAUCUUAUCCACAUGUCCUACCUGAAGGUUAUGAUUUUGUCAUAUAUAAUUGCUCUUAACUCCCACCUAAUCGAGACAAUACCAAUUGUUAUUCUGACAUUUAUUGCAGGAAAUCCAAUAAUUGGACAACUGGUAAUUCCAAAAUAUGUUGAUUAGAUUAUAAAGCAAAUUAAUAGAAAACAUCAGUUUUCAAGCUCAUUUGAUCACAACAGUUACGUUAGCGAGAUCAUAAUCCUCGUCUCACCCCAGACAUCCAGUUUCAUUUUUCGUAUGAAAAAGAUUAAUUCAAUUUUUAUCUCAAACGUCAAUUUUGACAUGAUGAAGGAAUAAAAAUCUUCAAUAUCCUCGUCCCGUCCGCCCCUAAAAUAAAAAUCUUCGACCAUGCUCGAAAUGUGUAAGCUGGAAACAGUUUUAACCUCGCAACGAGUAAUUUCAGGAUUACAAAGUUUAUUAUUAGCAUGACAAAAU